AUCUGGUGCUUGCAUUGGAUCUGGAAAGCGGCGAAAGGGAGAGUAACGCGUAGGGUACCUGCCCUCAGGUCUGGGAUAGCGGCGGGAAACCGCCGGUAAUACCGGAUAAUGUCCCCGGACCAAAGGUGAGAUUCCACCUGAGGAUGGUCCUGCGUCCUAUUAGCUUGUUGGUGGGGUAAUGGCCUACCAAGGCGUUGAUGGGUAGCGGGCGUGAGAGCGUGGCCCGUCUCACUGGGACUGAGACACUGCCCAGACACCUACGGGUGGCUGCAGUCGAGAAUCUUCCGCAAUGGACGCAAGUCUGACGGAGCGACGCCGCGUGCGGGAUGAAGGCCUUCGGGUUGUAAACCGCUGUCAGUGGGGUGGAAAUCUUCAGGGGCUAUCCCCUGGAGUUGACCUAACCGCAGAGGAAGUCCGGGCUAAGUACGUGCCAGCAGCCGCGGUAACACGUACCGGACGAACGUUAUUCGGAAUCACUGGGCUUAAAGAGUGCGUAGGCGGCCUAAAAGGUGGGGUGUGAAAUCCCACGGCUCAACCGUGGAACUGCGCUCCAAACCGUUAGGCUUGAGGGAGACAGGGGUGAGCGGAACUGAUGGUGGAGCGGUGAAAUGCGUUGAUAUCAUCAGGAACACCGGUGGCGAAGGCGGCUCACUGGGUCUCUUCUGACGCUGAGGCACGAAAGCUAGGGUAGCGAACGGGAUUAGAUACCCCGGUAGUCCUAGCUGUAAACGAUGAGCACUAGAUCGUGGGGACCUCCACAUCCUCUCGGUCGUAGCGAAAGUGUUAAGUG
RNAcentral lists this ribosomal RNA (790 nucleotides) under uncultured bacterium. Its description in RNAcentral is "bacterial SSU rRNA". It matches the Rfam family "Bacterial small subunit ribosomal RNA", at positions 71 to 866 of the family's 1533-position model. The record is from RNAcentral.